This 732-nucleotide ribosomal RNA is filed under the name uncultured Bacteroidales bacterium. RNAcentral's name for it is "bacterial SSU rRNA". It matches the Rfam family "Bacterial small subunit ribosomal RNA", at positions 28 to 752 of the family's 1533-position model. The record is from RNAcentral. Lineage: Bacteria; Pseudomonadati; Bacteroidota; Bacteroidia; Bacteroidales.
GAUGAACGCUAGCCACAGGCUUAACACAUGCAAGUCGAGGGGCAGCAUUUUACUAGCAAUAGUAAAGAUGGCGACCGGCGCACGGGUGAGUAACACGUAUCCAACCUGCCGAUAACUCGGGGAUAGCCUUUCGAAAGAAAGAUUAAUAUCCGAUAGUAUAUUUUCUCCGCAUGGCGAGAAUAUUAAAGAAUUUCGGUUAUCGAUGGGGAUGCGUUCCAUUAGGCAGUUGGUGAGGUAACGGCUCACCAAACCUUCGAUGGAUAGGGGUUCUGAGAGGAAGGUCCCCCACAUUGGAACUGAGACACGGUCCAAACUCCUACGGGAGGCAGCAGUGAGGAAUAUUGGUCAAUGGGCGCGAGCCUGAACCAGCCAAGUAGCGUGAGGGAUGAAGGCUCUAUGGGUCGUAAACCUCUUUUAUAUGGGAAUAAAGUUUUCCACGUGUGGAAUUUUGUAUGUACCAUAUGAAUAAGGAUCGGCUAACUCCGUGCCAGCAGCCGCGGUAAUACGGAGGAUCCGAGCGUUAUCCGGAUUUAUUGGGUUUAAAGGGAGCGUAGGUGGAUUGUUAAGUCAGUUGUGAAAGUUUGCGGCUCAACCGUAAAAUUGCAGUUGAAACUGGCAGUCUUGAGUACAGUAGAGGUGGGCGGAAUUCGUGGUGUAGCGGUGAAAUGCUUAGAUAUCACGAAGAACUCCGAUUGCGAAGGCAGCUCACUAGACUGUCACUGACACUGAUGC